GAGUGAUUCUAGAACCGAGUGGAGCGUUGGCAAUGUUCCGCGUUGUGCGAUUACAUGGCUCUCCGGCGAGUGAGAACCCGCGCAUGGCGAUCACCUGUCCGCUUGGUGAGAGAUCUUCUGCCUGCACUGCGAGAAAUAGGAAUGAUGUGAUCCCAUAAUAUUGCGCCGGCUAUCUGUUUGAAUCGAUUCCGUCUCCAGCACAGACACAUCUUAUUUUUCAGUGCACCUUCUCAGACCUGCAAUCUAAUCUGAAAAGAGGUGUAAAGAUGAUGUUUUCGAAAAGUGCCAGACUAGCGAAGGAGAUGGAAAGUUUUACACUCAAUUUUCGGUCUGAUUAGACAGCAAAACAUUACCGAAAAUAUAAUGUUUUCUAUGAAUCAAUUGUGGACCCAAUCUAAUCUGCGGAGUGGGAGUAGGGCUCACCACCAAUCACGUGCGUGCCCAGAACAUUGGCAGUGGUCAUGAUCUUCACGCAACUGGGUAUU
Molecule: long non-coding RNA, 485 nt
Organism: Drosophila simulans
Lineage: Eukaryota; Metazoa; Arthropoda; Insecta; Diptera; Drosophilidae
Exons: 2
Source: RefSeq, a predicted model, not a curated record